This 698-nucleotide ribosomal RNA is filed under the name uncultured Gammaproteobacteria bacterium. RNAcentral's name for it is "bacterial SSU rRNA". It matches the Rfam family "Bacterial small subunit ribosomal RNA", at positions 196 to 872 of the family's 1533-position model. The record is from RNAcentral. Lineage: Bacteria; Pseudomonadati; Pseudomonadota; Gammaproteobacteria.
ACGGGGGAAAGCAGGGGAUCACUUGUGACCUUGCGUUAAUAGAUGAGCCUAAGUCGGAUUAGCUAGUUGGUGGGGUAAAGGCCUACCAAGGCGACGAUCUGUAGCGGGUCUGAGAGGAUGAUCCGCCACACUGGGACUGAGACACGGCCCAGACUCCUACGGGAGGCAGCAGUGGGGAAUAUUGGACAAUGGGGGGAACCCUGAUCCAGCCAUGCCGCGUGUGUGAAGAAGGCCUUAUGGUUGUAAAGCACUUUAAGCGAGGAGGAGGCUCUUUUGGUUAAUACCCAAGAUGAGUGGACGUUACUCGCAGAAUAAGCACCGGCUAACUCUGUGCCAGCAGCCGCGGUAAUACAGAGGGUGCGAGCGUUAAUCGGAUUUACUGGGCGUAAAGCGUGCGUAGGCGGCUUUUUAAGUCGGAUGUGAAAUCCCCGAGCUUAACUUGGGAAUUGCAUUCGAUACUGGGGAGCUAGAGUAUGGGAGAGGAUGGUAGAAUUCCAGGUGUAGCGGUGAAAUGCGUAGAGAUCUGGAGGAAUACCGAUGGCGAAGGCAGCCAUCUGGCCUAAUACUGACGCUGAGGUACGAAAGCAUGGGGAGCAAACAGGAUUAGAUACCCUGGUAGUCCAUGCCGUAAACGAUGUCUACUAGCCGUUGGGGUCUUUGAGACUUUAGUGGCGCAGCUAACGCGAUAAGUAGACCGC